GCCUUCGUGGUGUAGUGGUCGGCACGCUUCACGCGUAACCGAGAGGUCCGUGGUUCGAUUCCCGGCGAAGGCG
Molecule: transfer RNA, 73 nt
Filed under: Stegodyphus mimosarum
Lineage: Eukaryota; Metazoa; Arthropoda; Arachnida; Araneae; Eresidae
Rfam family: tRNA
About the family: Transfer RNA (tRNA) molecules are approximately 80 nucleotides in length. Their secondary structure includes four short double-helical elements and three loops (D, anti-codon, and T loops).
Source: Rfam by way of RNAcentral